AGGACGAACGCUGGCGGCGCGCUUAACACAUGCAAGUCGAGCGAGAACCAGGGCUUCGGCCCUGGGGAAAGCGGCGAACGGGUGAGUAACACGUGAGUAACCUGUCCUCGGCACCGGGAUAGCCCGGGGAAACCCGGAUUAAUACCGGAUGGCCUUUCGGGUCUUCGGACUCGUCAGAAAAGGGAGCUUCGGCCUCCGGCCGAGGAGGGACUCGCGGCGGAUUAGCUUGUUGGUGAGGUAACGGCUCACCAAGGCGAUGAUCCGUAGCUGGUCUGAGAGGACGAUCAGCCACACUGGGACUGAGACACGGCCCAGACUCCUACGGGAGGCAGCAGUGGGAAUCUUGCGCAAUGGGCGAAAGCCUGACGCAGCGACGCCGCGUGCGGGAAGAAGGCCUUCGGUUGUAACCGACUUCAGGAGGACGAAGCACUCGGUAAUAGCCAGAGGUGACGGUACCUCCACGAAGAAGCCCGGACAACUACGUGCCAGCAGCGC
Molecule: ribosomal RNA, 495 nt
Filed under: uncultured soil bacterium
Lineage: Bacteria
Description: bacterial SSU rRNA
Rfam family: Bacterial small subunit ribosomal RNA
Source: RNAcentral